Molecule: ribosomal RNA, 379 nt
Filed under: uncultured eukaryote
Lineage: Eukaryota
Description: partial 18S ribosomal RNA
Rfam family: Eukaryotic small subunit ribosomal RNA
Source: RNAcentral
CAAUAGCGUAUAUUAAAGUUGUUGCAGUUAAAAAGCUCGUAGUUGAACCUUGGGCCUGGCUGGCCGGUCUGCCUCACCGCAUGCACUGGUCCGGCCGGGCCUUUCCCUCUGGGGAUCCGCAUGCCCUUCACUGGGUGUGUCGGGGAACCAGGACUUUUACUGUGAAAAAAUUAGAGUGUUCAAAGCAGGCCUAUGCUCGAAUACAUUAGCAUGGAAUAAUAGAAUAGGACGUUGCGGUUCUAUUUUGUUGGUUUCUAGGACCGCCGUAAUGAUUAAUAGGGACAGUCGGGGGCGUCAGUAUUCAAUCGUCAGAGGUGAAAUUCUUGGAUCGAUUGAAGACUAACUACUGCGAAAGCAUUCGCCAAGGAUGUUUUCAUUA